Transfer RNA from Serendipita vermifera MAFF 305830, 71 nucleotides. It matches the Rfam family "tRNA". Rfam says of the family: Transfer RNA (tRNA) molecules are approximately 80 nucleotides in length. Their secondary structure includes four short double-helical elements and three loops (D, anti-codon, and T loops). Lineage: Eukaryota; Fungi; Basidiomycota; Agaricomycetes; Sebacinales; Serendipitaceae. The record is from Rfam.
AUGAGUAUAGUUUAAUGGUAGAACAUCAUGUUUCCACCAUGAUGGUAUCGGUUCAAAUCCGAUUACUCAUA